Molecule: long non-coding RNA, 1296 nt
Filed under: Piliocolobus tephrosceles (Ugandan red Colobus)
Lineage: Eukaryota; Metazoa; Chordata; Mammalia; Primates; Cercopithecidae
Description: lncRNA (ENSPTEG00000010225.1)
Source: RNAcentral
GUGAGAUCACACUAAGAUCCUAAAGGCUUUGCGCUUCUCUGGAGUGGCUGCUGUCUCAUGCACACCUGGCCUGGUGUGCUCACCCCACCCAGUGUGUCUGUCCUGCCUGGCCUGGACCCAGAGCCACACAGGGGCAUCCCCAGCACAUCCCGCCCCAGGAUUCCUCUUCCCUGAUUCAUCUGAGCCCAGACAGCAGGUGGCAGACACGUUCCUGCCCAGACCCGGACACCUCCAUCUGCUUGGACCACUGGCUUCCCUCAGGCUUUGCCGUCAGAACAGACAGGUGGUUUCUUUUAAACCUGUGCCACCCCGUUUUGCCCUGCAAAUGCUGUUAUUUUUAAAGCUACUGAAUCACGUGAUUUUCCUACUUUGCUUCAUGCCACCCCCGGGGCUGCGGCUCUGCUGCUGCCCGCCCUUGCCCUGCCGCUCCUGCAGAGUCCUCCUCUCCACCCACAACUCACGGUGGCCACAUGGGCUGGGCUUCUCACCUUGGCCACUGCCUCCCAUGUCACCCAUGUGAUGAUGAUGGAGGGCCCAGGGGUGCCGGGACUGAGAACUGGAGCCUCCACCCUAGCGCCUGGCUCUGCGUGGGAGGUGGGGUGGGGUGGUCAAACUCCAGCUGUCUUCUCAGUGGGCCUUUGACACCACUUUUUAUCUUCCUAUUAAAAAUGUGUGCAAUGCUGUAACAAUUCUAAUUAACUCCUUAGGUUCCACUCCUAGGAACAAACCUAGGAGGUCAGGAGGUGAGAACUUCCAACCCACCUGGCUGAAGCUUCAGAGCCCACGUACCGUUUCUCUGCCUUUGCCUCCUCUUUUUCCGUUGAGGUAAUCAGCUGUUCCCUUCUCUCUGAGCCAUGGUGGGCAGCUCGUCUCCUGCAGACAUCACCCUCCAGAACUACCCCAGGCUCUGCAAGAUGCCACCCGGCGUCAGGACCUGCCAGGCCAGUGAGACAGGUGGUCCCUCUCGCAGCAGGGCCACACCCACCACGUGGGCUAAAGGCACAAAGUCUUCCUACCAGGUGGGAGGGCACGGCUGCAUGGGGCUGUCUGUCCUUCCAGAUCCUUAGAACGCUCACAGUCCUUAGGGUCCCAGGACCCACUUCUUCCUGCAGCUCUGGGUCACAGGAGCCCAGCUUCAGGGUACAGACAAGGACCUAAAGUGCAGCCCCAGAUCCUCUGAUGGUGAACUCCAGCUGACCUCAGCGUUUCCAGGCAAGCUCCAGCCGCAGGUUCCCUGGAGGUGCUGCACAGGACAAAGCUCCCUGCUGGGCUCCUCGAAGCCAUCCUGAAAAGCAG